Molecule: long non-coding RNA, 1194 nt
Filed under: Homo sapiens (human)
Lineage: Eukaryota; Metazoa; Chordata; Mammalia; Primates; Hominidae
Description: HSALNT0355212
Source: RNAcentral
CCAGUCAGCACAAGACAGGGUUGCUGGGGCUCAUAACAGGGCAGCCCCUGGCCCAGACUUGGAAACUAGGGUGAGCUAAGCUGAGAUCAGAAAGAUAAGAACCUCACCAGACUAGGGUGUGGGCACAGGCAGGGGCCAGUGAACAGCAUAUGUAAGAGUCCUGAGGCAGAGCUGAAUUGGAGGACCAGAAAGAAGGCCAGCGUGAGUGGAGUCCCAAGGGAGGAGACAGAGAAGUGGCCAGGGCCAGAUGGAGAAGAAGCUGGUGGUCAGGGUUCAAGAGCAGAAAAGACACUCUUCCUACCCUGUUCCAACAGCCCAGCCUGGAUGGCAAAAGCGACAGACCCUCCCUCAGAGGGACAAGGAUGAGACGGCCGAACCAGUGCUCCUGCCCGGGCUCCACAGGCCCCUUUCCUCGCUGGCCCCACUGGAGAGGCAGGGGUUAAGCUCCAUGGCCUGUCCCCUCUGUCACACAUGUACCCUGCCAUCUCUGGGCUCAACUGUCGCUGCGCUGUAUCGGGACUCCAUCAGAGAGGCUCAGGCAGCAGCUUGCAGUGUUCAGGCCGGCGGUCUCGAGGGUGGCGAGUUCUUGCACUCCUACAACAGCGCUUGAGGACGGCUCUGUCCGCUGGCCUAUGCUGCAGCCUCCUCCUGCCCCUGCGGCAGAGGAGGGAGAGCCGUGGGCACAGCUAGCACUAGCACGUGUGGGUUCAGAGGUCUGAGCGGCCACUUCCCGCUUCCAGACCUCGGAUGCGACGCUCAUCUGCACGGUGUGGGCAGAGAUAACAUCCUCCCCAGAACAGCAUGGAAAUGUUUCAGCAGGGUGCUCGGCUUAGAUAAGUGCUCGGCAAACCAGAGUUGCCAUCAUGAUUCCCCCACGGCCCUCAAUCCUCUCCUCCCUGCAAAGCGUGCAUCCUUUUUUACCCCAUCUUCCACCCCUCCCAAUUUCCCUUUUGGCCUCAUCUUGGAGGCUGUAAGUCAGGGUGAAUCAUUCAUCAAAAUAUCUCACUCUUCCUCUUCCAGGGUUCCUGAUAUAAUUACCUCCCUCUUCGGUUUUGCUCCUGAUCCCUCUUCUGUUUUUUUCUGUGUGAACUUUAUUUUAACCAUCCUUUGUGUCUGUGAAUGUUUUUUUUUUUUUUAAAUCUUGCCAAUGAAAAUAACUUAAUUGCUUUUUCUGGUUUUUAAAGUAACACACGC